GGAACAUAACUACGAGUUGUUUGCAGAGGAGGGUGAAGGAGCAACCGAGCGAGCGCUGCGUCGGGCGAGCAAACCUGAACAUUUCGGGAUAUUUCCCCCACCGCUCCCAACCUCCCGUUUAACUGGCGCGACUCCGUCCCACCCGCGCUGCUGCCCACGUCGGUGCCGCGCUGCUUGGCCCGCAAGGACGGCAGAAGGACGAAUCUGCUCCCUCGCGGCUCCGGCUGCAGCGGCCACGGAAGCGCCGCGAGUGGGCUGGCACCAUCCGACGGCCCCGCCGUGGCGGAACGGACUGCGGUGCCCGACCGCGCGGGUCCCGCCGGGGGAGAGCUCAGCCAAGGUGUGACAGAUGACAUGGGUUCAGCGUCUCGCAGGACACGCUCCCAGAGCCUCCCACACAGAUUCCCCGUCUCUUGGAAAGAACCCACGAUGAAUGUCCCUGUUUUAUCUGUUGCCGGUGACUUCAUGUGCCAGAAGGACACAGGCGGAGGAAGGAUAGUGUCACGGCCGGACCCAAUGCGCGCAGUGGGCAGCGGCUGUAAAAUACAUUCCUGAUGUUAAAAUGACAGCCUGGCUUGCACCGCACUGCAAAAUGGAUGGGUACAUUCAGGGACAACGUUGCAUCCUUCAUUUUUCAAGCCAUGUGGAAUUACUAACAUAUGUGAAAAUAACGUUUACUAGCCUAUGUGAAAAUUACCAUUUAUUUUGUGCUUUGAGAUGCUCCGGUCCCUCCCCGAUACCGAACA
Molecule: long non-coding RNA, 746 nt
Filed under: Falco tinnunculus (common kestrel)
Lineage: Eukaryota; Metazoa; Chordata; Aves; Falconiformes; Falconidae
Description: lncRNA (ENSFTIG00000004837.1)
Source: RNAcentral